This 314-nucleotide unclassified non-coding RNA is filed under the name uncultured fungus. RNAcentral describes it as "partial contains 5.8S ribosomal RNA and internal transcribed spacer 2". The stretch from base 1 to 133 matches the Rfam family "5.8S ribosomal RNA", at positions 22 to 154 of the family's 154-position model. Lineage: Eukaryota; Fungi. The record is from RNAcentral.
UGGUUCUGGCAUCGAUGAAGAACGCAGCGAAAUGCGAUAAGUAAUGUGAAUUGCAGAAUUCAGUGAAUCAUCGAAUCUUUGAACGCACAUUGCGCCCCUUGGUAUUCCGGGGGGCAUGCCUGUUCGAGCGUCAUUACACCACUCAAGCCUGGCUUGGUAUUGGGCGCCGCGCCCGUCGCGCGCCCUAAUGUCGCCGGCCGAGUCGUCUGUCUCCGAGCGUUGUGAAUCUCAUUCGCUCCUGGGGAUCCAGACGGCGCGCGCCGUUAAACCUCUUUUUACAGGUUGACCUCGGAUCAGGUAGGGAUACCCGCUGA